Molecule: ribosomal RNA, 504 nt
Filed under: uncultured bacterium
Lineage: Bacteria
Description: partial 16S ribosomal RNA
Rfam family: Bacterial small subunit ribosomal RNA
Source: RNAcentral
AUUGAACGCUGGCGGCAGGCCUAACACAUGCAAGUCGAACGGUAGCACAGAGAGCUUGCUCUCGGGUGACGAGUGGCGGACGGGUGAGUAAUGUCUGGGAAACUGCCCGAUGGAGGGGGAUAACUGCUGGAAACGGUAGCUAAUACCGCAUAACGUCACAAGACCAAAGUGGGGGACCUUCGGGCCUCACACCAUCGGAUGUGCCCAGAUGGGAUUAGCUAGUAGGUGGGGUAAUGGCUCACCCAGGCGACGAUCCCUAGCUGGUCUGAGAGGAUGACCAGCCACACUGGAACUGAGACACGGUCCAGACUCCUACGGGAGGCAGCAGUGGGGAAUAUUGCACAAUGGGCGCAAGCCUGAUGCAGCCAUGCCGCGUGUAUGAAGAAGGCCUUCGGGUUGUAAAGUACUUUCAGCGGGGAGGAAGGCGGUGAAGUUAAUAACUUCACCGAUUGACGUUACCCGCAGAAGAAGCACCGGCUAACUCCGUGCCAGCCGCCGCAGUAA